AGAGUUUGAUCCUGGCUCAGGAUGAACGCUAGCUACAGGCUUAACACAUGCAAGUCGAGGGGCAGCGGUAUCGGAAGCUUGCUUUCGGUAGCCGGCGACCGGCGCACGGGUGAGUAACGCGUAUCGAACCUGCCUCAUACUCGGGAAUAGCCUUGCGAAAGUAAGAUUAAUGCCCGGUGUUUUCAGAGUCCCGCAUGAGGCUUUGAACAAAGAUUUAUCGGUAUGAGAUGGCGAUGCGUCCCAUUAGCUUGUUGGCGGGGUAACGGCCCACCAAGGCAUCGAUGGGUAGGGGUUCUGAGAGGAAGGUCCCCCACAUUGGAACUGAGACACGGUCCAAACUCCUACGGGAGGCAGCAGUGAGGAAUAUUGGUCAAUGGGCGGAAGCCUGAACCAGCCAAGUAGCGUGCAGGAAGACGGCCCUCCGGGUUGUAAACUGCUUUUAGUUGGGAAUAAAACGGGGCUCGUGAGCCCCCUUGCAUGUACCAUCAGAAAAAGGACCGGCUAAUUCCGUGCCAGCAGCCGCGGUAAUACGGAAGGUCCGGGCGUUAUCCGGAUUUAUUGGGUUUAAAGGGAGCGCAGGCGGACCUUUAAGUCAGCUGUGAAAUACGGCGGCUCAACCGUCGAACUGCAGUUGAUACUGGAGGUCUUGAGUGCACACAGGGAUGCUGGAAUUCAUGGUGUAGCGGUGAAAUGCUCAGAUAUCAUGAAGAACUCCGAUCGCGAAGGCAGGCAUCCGGGGUGCAACUGACGCUGAGGCUCGAAAGUGCGGGUAUCAAACAGGAUUAGAUACCCUGGUAGUCCGCACAGUAAACGAUGAAUACUCGCGGUUUGCGAUACAGUGUAAGCCGCCAAGCGAAAGCGUUAAGUAUUCCACCUGGGGAGUACGCCGGCAACGGUGAAACUCAAAGGAAUUGACGGGGGCCCGCACAAGCGGAGGAACAUGUGGUUUAAUUCGAUGAUACGCGAGGAACCUUACCCGGGCUUGAACUGCCAGCGACGGAUGCAGAGACGCAUUUUUCUUCGGACGCUGGCGGAGGUGCUGCAUGGUUGUCGUCAGCUCGUGCCGUGAGGUGUCGGCUUAAGUGCCAUAACGAGCGCAACCC
Molecule: ribosomal RNA, 1103 nt
Filed under: human gut metagenome
Description: bacterial SSU rRNA
Rfam family: Bacterial small subunit ribosomal RNA
Source: RNAcentral